UAUACAUAAAGAAUAUUACCACUAACAAAUGCAGACAGGCUAGGACAUGGUACUGGGUGGAGGACGGCUAGCUCUUUGGAAAGUGAAAGGUUUGGGUGGCGUGGGCCUCAUGCCACACUGAUUGGUCAGUAGACAGGGGGCACAUGCCAAACACCACAGGGCAUCAGAGGCUGUGGGAAGAGAAGGCAGCACCAAUGGUGGCACCUUCUAAUACUGGUUGUUCUAGGGGCAGGGAGAGGGAAAGGUCUUUUUUUAAACCAAGCCCCUCAUUUCAAUGUACAAAAGAAUUACUCUGAUCGAUAUUAAAUCGUAUUGAAAACAAAAUGGACUAAAAAGCAAAUACUACUCUAUGUUGGGGUGGAAGUGGGAGGAAAGAAUGAGUCCUUCGAAGCAGGAAGGGAGAUAGCAGGGGAAAGGUUCUGUGCCUGUGACCUUGGGCGGUCACUCACGUUGCUCCAUUUUUACUUUCGGUGGUCUCAGGAAGGUCCGAUUUUUCUUCUCUUUCUUCCCCUUCGUAUUGGCUUGGAAGUUUCGCCAGCUGUCCACACGACCAUCUCGACUUUCCUAAGUACAAAAGAAGUUUGAGGUGAGGAGACCAGUCAAUGAGUGGAAAGGCCUAAACCUGGUCUGCCAUCCACUCACCCUCCUGUAGCCCAGCCCACUUCAGUCCUCUGGAA
Molecule: long non-coding RNA, 677 nt
Filed under: Homo sapiens (human)
Lineage: Eukaryota; Metazoa; Chordata; Mammalia; Primates; Hominidae
Description: HSALNT0003832
Source: RNAcentral